UGGGGAAUAUUGCACAAUGGGCGCAAGCCUGAUGCAGCCAUGCCGCGUGUGUGAAGAAGGCCUUCGGGUUGUAAAGCACUUUCAGCGAGGAGGAAGGUGGUGAGCUUAAUACGCUCAUCAAUUGACGUUACUCGCAGAAGAAGCACCGGCUAACUCCGUGCCAGCAGCCGCGGUAAUACGGAGGGUGCAAGCGUUAAUCGGAAUUACUGGGCGUAAAGCGCACGCAGGCGGUUUGUUAAGUCAGAUGUGAAAUCCCCGGGCUCAACCUGGGAACUGCAUUUGAAACUGGCAAGCUAGAGUCUCGUAGAGGGGGGUAGAAUUCCAGGUGUAGCGGUGAAAUGCGUAGAGAUCUGGAGGAAUACCGGUGGCGAAGGCGGCCCCCUGGACGAAGACUGACGCUCAGGUGCGAAAGCGUGGGGCAGCAAACAGGAUUAGAUACCCUGGUAGUCCAGCGCUGUAAAACGAUGUCGAUUUUGGAGGUUGUGCCCUUGAGGCGUGGCUUCCGGAGCUAACGCGUUAAAUCGACCGCCUGGGGAGUACGGCCGCAAGGUUAAAACUCAAAUGAAUUGACGGGGUC
This 577-nucleotide ribosomal RNA is filed under the name uncultured bacterium. RNAcentral describes it as "partial 16S ribosomal RNA". It matches the Rfam family "Bacterial small subunit ribosomal RNA", at positions 355 to 920 of the family's 1533-position model. The record is from RNAcentral.